RNAcentral lists this long non-coding RNA (596 nucleotides) under Brassica rapa (field mustard). RNAcentral's name for it is "long non-coding RNA (BRAP_LNC007638)". The record is from RNAcentral. Lineage: Eukaryota; Viridiplantae; Streptophyta; Magnoliopsida; Brassicales; Brassicaceae.
UUCUCUGAUUGUGUUAAGCGUUUAUGUUACUUUCAGUCUCUCCCUCUCGUCUCCAAUCAAAGCUAUCUCAUCUCAUCUCUCUCACUCUCCUGGAUGAAAGAACCUCUCGACCCUUUCACUCUCAGUCUCUCGAGUCUUUCACUAUAUCGUCUCUCUACUAUAUCGAAAUACUCUUCUUCUUCAGAUGGGUGUCUCUGAUUUCAUCAUCUUAAUAAAGCGGGUUUGAUGGGUUUGUUAAAGUCUAUUGAUGGGUCUGCUUGUUCGUUUAUGUUUCUCUGAUUUAAGGCUUGUUUCUGAUGAAUUUGUAAACUUUAUGGCUUGUUUCUGAUGAAUUUGUAAAGUCUUAUGGCUUGUUUGUAAUAAAAUUGUAAGGUCUCAUGGCUUGUAUCCGAUGAAUUUGUAAAGUCUCAUGGCUUGUUUUCUGAUAAACCUGAAAGAUCUCAUGGCUUUUUUCGAUUGUGAAUAUGUAAAGUCUCAUGGUUAUCAAGGUCUUAACUUGAUCGUUUCUGUUAUUUUCACUUCGGUUAUUGACGUUUUAGCUUGUUAUAAUCUGCCUGAAGAUAGUAACAUGUUUAUGGUCAUUGCUUGUAAGUUGU